CCUACGGGAGGCAGCAGUGGGGAAUAUUGGGCAAUGGGCGCAAGCCUGACCCAGCAACGCCGCGUGAAGGAAGAAGGCCCUCGGGUUGUAAACUUCUUUUAUUCGGGACGAAACAAAUGACGGUACCGACUGAAUAAGCCACGGCUAACUACGUGCCAGCAGCCGCGGUAAUACGUAGGUGGCAAGCGUUAUCCGUAUUUACUGGGUGGAAAGGGCGGGUAGGCGGGAGAGCAAGUCAGACGUGACAUUCCAGGGCUCAACCCUGGAACUGCGUUUGAAACUGUUCUUCUUGAGUGAUGGAGAGGCAGGCGGAAUUCCGGGUGUAGCGGUGAAAUGCGUAGAUAUACGGAGGAACACCAGUGGCGAAGGCGGCCUGCUGGACAUUAACUGACGCUGAGGCGCGAAAGCGUGGGGAGCAAACAGGAUUAGAUACCCCUGUAGUC
This 443-nucleotide ribosomal RNA is filed under the name uncultured bacterium. RNAcentral describes it as "partial 16S ribosomal RNA". It matches the Rfam family "Bacterial small subunit ribosomal RNA", at positions 338 to 795 of the family's 1533-position model. The record is from RNAcentral.